UGACAAUUUAGUUCUGGUUGCCGUAAUUGGCUUACUCUUUUAUCUAUUACACAUGGUAGUUUAGGCGUAUUAUGAGUAGGUUUUGUGGGGGUAUUUAGCUUCUAAAGGAAUGGAUAAAUAUCUUGCAAGAUAAGCAAUAAGAGGAUAUCUAGAAAGGUUAGUUUAUUCCAUAACUCCAGUGAAGAGAAUUUAACAAUUAGCGACAGCUAGAUUAAGUAAGGGAGAAUAAGGGCAGUCUAAUGAGGUGCCAGCAGUCGCGGUUAAACCUGAUAGCCCGAGUCAAUUUUAUUAAGCGUAAAAGGUGGUUGGGCAAGCUGCACAUGGGAAGGAUAAGAGUAAUAUAAGCCUGAUAGUAAUAGGUUUAAUUUUAAACUCUCAGGAAGGGUGAUUGUAUUUCUCUAUGUUGAGGCCACGGAACCGGGGUUGUAGACAAGGAUUAGGUACCCUUUUAUUCCCGGCAGAAACUUUGUUUUGCUAACUGUUUGAGGACUACGAGCAUAUUGCUUAAAACUCAAAGAACAUGGCGGCUAGUCAAUCUAAUUAGGGGAACAUGUGUCUUAAUACGAAGAUGCGCGAUUAAUUUUACCACAUCUUGAAAGUGAUCAGCUAGUGUAUUGCCGUUGUCAAUUAAUGGUCAAGCUUAAAAAAUUAGUUCAAUGGAGGUUUUAGAAACAGACUAUCCGUGAAUUCAGGUCAAAAUGCUGCUAAUGGUGCGGGGAUGGGGUGUUACAUUCUUUAUUUGAGAAACGGAACUCACAGAAGACUGUUAAGUAACUGUUUCAGAUGUAAUUUGAGGGAAGGAGAACUUAAAAGUAAAAAGAAAUUAGAAUGUUUUUUUGAAUAAGUGCUGGCUUGUGUACAAACCGCCCGUCACUCUCGCCGGAAGGGGAGAUAAGUCGUAACAAGGUAGGGGUACCGGAAGGUGCGCCCUGUAAAGGU
Molecule: ribosomal RNA, 939 nt
Filed under: Catillopecten margaritatus
Lineage: Eukaryota; Metazoa; Mollusca; Bivalvia; Pectinida; Propeamussiidae
Description: Catillopecten sp. m YTL-2023 12S ribosomal RNA
Rfam family: Bacterial small subunit ribosomal RNA
Source: RNAcentral